GGGUGGUUAGCUCAGUUGGUUAGAGCAUCUCGUUUACACCGAGAGGGUCGGGGGUUCGAGUCCCUCACUACCCA
RNAcentral lists this transfer RNA (74 nucleotides) under Gemmatimonadota bacterium. Its description in RNAcentral is "tRNA-Val". It matches the Rfam family "tRNA". Rfam says of the family: Transfer RNA (tRNA) molecules are approximately 80 nucleotides in length. Their secondary structure includes four short double-helical elements and three loops (D, anti-codon, and T loops). Further hydrogen bonds mediate the characteristic L-shaped molecular structure. tRNAs have two regions of fundamental functional importance: the anti-codon, which is responsible for specific mRNA codon recognition, and the 3' end, to which the tRNAs corresponding amino acid is attached (by aminoacyl-tRNA synthetases). tRNAs cope with the degeneracy of the genetic code in two manners: having more than one tRNA (with a specific anti-codon) for a particular amino acid; and 'wobble' base-pairing, i.e. permitting non-standard base-pairing at the 3rd anti-codon position. Lineage: Bacteria; Pseudomonadati; Gemmatimonadota. The record is from RNAcentral.